RNAcentral lists this transfer RNA (67 nucleotides) under Amphiura sinicola. Its description in RNAcentral is "tRNA-Glu". The record is from RNAcentral. Lineage: Eukaryota; Metazoa; Echinodermata; Ophiuroidea; Amphilepidida; Amphiuridae.
AAUUUAUAUAGUUUAAAAAGAACGGUAGACUUUCUAUCUACAAGCCCCUUAUUUAGGGUAUAAAUUA